AAAUUAAUUUCGAGCCUAAAUUUAGGCUCAAUCUCGGCUUGAAAUUAAUUUAAGCCGAGCUCGAGCGAGCCUAACUUCGAGUUGAGCGAGCUCGAGCCCUAACCGAGCCACUUGAAAUUCUUAAUAUCGUGCAAUCUAUAGUUUAAUUUUUAUAAUACAUUAUAUAAAAUUCGAUACAAAAAUAUCUAAUAGUUCAACAUACAAAAAUGAAUGCAUGAAUAUGAUAUUAUAAUAUUAAAAAAAAUUAGAAAAAGUAACUCUGUGAGCGAGUGAAAAAAAGAGAGAGAGAGAGGGAGCAAUUAGAGUAGGAUUUUGCUGGUUUGGUUUUGUGGGCCCAAUAAUCUAAAUUCUAUAUACAUAUAAUUAAGAUACAUAAUAUAUAUUAUUUUAUAUAAUUAAAAUAUAUAUUAUAUGUAAUUAUAUAUAAAGAGAGUUCGACCACUGUACUCUUAUUAGUAUAGACUUUUUUAUAUUCAUAAGUUUUCGACCGUUAGAUCUAUACUUUUGACCAUUUCUAUCUAUAAAUCAUACUAUCCAUCCACCCAUUCAAUCCUAGGGAUCACUAUCAUCCUAAGAGUAUAGUAGCCCUAUCCUAUAUAUAUUAAUAGUACUAACCGCUUGUUAUUAGGUUUUCGACCCUUGUAUGAAAGGAUGUGUAGUCAGGAUGAUAGUAGCCUACUAGGGUUGAGGAGGUGGCUAGUUGAAUAGUAUGAUUUAACGGAUGAAAAUCGCCAAAGGGGUAGAUCUAACGGCAGAAAACUCGAUAGCACCAAACACUUAAUACUAUCAAUAGCAUAGUAGCCGGACUUUAUAUAUAUAGAUCGAUCUAAUGGCAGAAAACUUGAUAGUACAAAACGAUUGAUACUAUAGAUAAUAUAAUAGUCGGACUAUAUAUAUAUAGAGAGAGAUAUAGAGUCCGGCUACUAUAUUAUCGAUACUACCAAAUAUUUAGUACUAUCGAAUUUUGUGCCGUUAGAUCUACUUCUUUGACCAUUUUCACCUAAUAGAUCAUACUAUUCAACUAACCACCCACUCAAUCCUAGGGGAUCACUAUCAUCCUAACCGCACAUUCCUUCAUCCAAGAGCCGAAAACCUAAUAGUAAGUGGUUGGUACUAUUAAUAAUAUAGUAGACUAUAAUAUAUAUAUGCUUUUCGAGUCUAAUUCGAGCGAGUCCGGUAAUAAUCAAGCUCGGCUUGAAAUUAAUUUCGAGCCUAAAUUUAGGCUCAAAUUCGAUUUGAAAUUAAUUCGAGUCGAGCUCGAACGAGCUGAAUAUCAAGCCG
This 1281-nucleotide long non-coding RNA is filed under the name Ananas comosus (pineapple). RNAcentral's name for it is "long non-coding RNA (ACOM_LNC018651)". The record is from RNAcentral. Lineage: Eukaryota; Viridiplantae; Streptophyta; Magnoliopsida; Poales; Bromeliaceae.